GAGACACGGCCCAAACUCCUACGGGAGGCAGCAGUGGGGAAUAUUGCACAAUGGGGGAAACCCUGAUGCAGCGACGCCGCGUGAGUGAAGAAGUAUUUCGGUAUGUAAAGCUCUAUCAGCAGGGAAGAAAAUGACGGUACCUGACUAAGAAGCCCCGGCUAACUACGUGCCAGCAGCCGCGGUAAUACGUAGGGGGCAAGCGUUAUCCGGAUUUACUGGGUGUAAAGGGAGCGUAGACGGCAGCGCAAGUCUGAAGUGAAAUCCCAUGGCUUAACCAUGGAACUGCUUUGGAAACUGUGCAGCUGGAGUGCAGGAGAGGUAAGCGGAAUUCCUAGUGUAGCGGUGAAAUGCGUAGAUAUUAGGAGGAACACCAGUGGCGAAGGCGGCUUACUGGACUGUAACUGACGUUGAGGCUCGAAAGCGUGGGGAGCAAACAGGAUUAGAUACCCUGGUAGUCCACGCCGUAAACGAUGAUUACUAGGUGUUGGGGGACCAAGGUCCUUCG
This 505-nucleotide ribosomal RNA is filed under the name uncultured bacterium. Its description in RNAcentral is "bacterial SSU rRNA". It matches the Rfam family "Bacterial small subunit ribosomal RNA", at positions 321 to 842 of the family's 1533-position model. The record is from RNAcentral.